GACGAACGUUGGCGGCGUGCUUAACACAUGCAAGUCGAACGGAAAGGCCCUGCUUUUGUGGGGUGCUCGAGUGGCGAACGGGUGAGUAACACGUGAGUAACCUGCCCUUGACUUUGGGAUAACUUCAGGAAACUGGGGCUAAUACCGGAUAGGAGCUCCUGCUGCAUGGUGGGGGUUGGAAAGUUUCGGCGGUUGGGGAUGGACUCGCGGCUUAUCAGCUUGUUGGUGGGGUAGUGGCUUACCAAGGCUUUGACGGGUAGCCGGCCUGAGAGGGUGACCGGCCACAUUGGGACUGAGAUACGGCCCAGACUCCUACGGGAGGCAGCAGUGGGGAAUAUUGCACAGUGGGCGGAAGCCUGAUGCAGCAACGCCGCGUGCGGGAUGACGGCCUUCGGGUUGUAAACCGCUUUCGCCUGUGACGAAGCGUGAGUGACGGUAAUGGGUAAAGAAGCACCGGCUAACUACGUGCCGGCAGCCGCGGUGAUACGUAGGGUGCGAGCGUUGUCCGGAUUUAUUGGGCGUAAAGGGCUCGUAGGUGGUUGAUCGCGUCGGAAGUGUAAUCUUGGGGCUUAACCCUGAGCGUGCUUUCGAUACGGGUUGACUUGAGGAAGGUAGGGGAGAAUGGAAUUCCUGGUGGAGCGGUGGAAUGCGCAGAUAUCAGGAGGAACACCAGUGGCGAAGGCGGUUCUCUGGGCCUUUCCUGACGCUGAGGAGCGAAAGCGUGGGGAGCGAACAGGCUUAGAUACCCUGGUAGUCCACGCUGUAAACGGUGGGUACUAGGUGUGGGGUCCAUUCCACGGGUUCCGUGCCGUAGCUAACGCUUUAAGUACCCCGCCUGGGGAGUACGGCCGCAAGGCUAAAACUCAAAGGAAUUGACGGGGCCCCGCACAAGCGGCGGAGCAUGCGGAUUAAUUCGAUGCAACGCGUAGAACCUUACCUGGGUUUGACAUGGAUCGGGAGUGCUCAGAGAUGGGUGUGCCUCUUUUGGGGUCGGUUCACAGGUGGUGCAUGGCUGUCGUCAGCUCGUGUCGUGAGAUGUUGGGUUAAGUCCCGCAACGAGCGCAACCCUUGUUCACUGUUGCCAGCACGUUAUGGUGGGGACUCAGUGGAGACCGCCGGGGUCAACUCGGAGGAAGGUGGGGAUGACGUCAAGUCAUCAUGCCCCUUAUGUCCAGGGCUUCACGCAUGCUACAAUGGCUGGUACAGAGAGUGGCGAGCCUGUGAGGGUGAGCGAAUCUCGGAAAGCCGGUCUCAGUUCGGAUUGGGGUCUGCAACUCGACCUCAUGAAGUCGGAGUCGCUAGUAAUCGCAGAUCAGCAACGCUGCGGUGAAUACGUUCCCGGGGCU
This 1346-nucleotide ribosomal RNA is filed under the name uncultured bacterium. Its description in RNAcentral is "partial 16S ribosomal RNA". It matches the Rfam family "Bacterial small subunit ribosomal RNA", at positions 28 to 1381 of the family's 1533-position model. The record is from RNAcentral.